Molecule: ribosomal RNA, 508 nt
Filed under: uncultured Glomeraceae
Lineage: Eukaryota; Fungi; Glomeromycota; Glomeromycetes; Glomerales; Glomeraceae
Description: SSU rRNA
Rfam family: Eukaryotic small subunit ribosomal RNA
Source: RNAcentral
AGCAGCCGCGGUAAUUCCAGCUCCAAUAGCGUAUAUUAAAGUUGUUGCAGUUAAAAAGCUCGUAGUUGAAUUUCGGGGUUAGUAGGUUGGUCGUGCCACUGGUAUGCACUGGUUCUACUGAUCCCUCCUUCUUGUAGAACCGUAAUGCCAUUCACUUGGUGUUGCGGGGAAACAGGACUGUUACUUUGAAAAAAUUAGAGUGUUUAAAGCAGGCUAACGCUUGAAUACAUUAGCAUGGAAUAAUGAAAUAGGACGUUCGAUCCUAUUUUGUUGGUUUCUAGGAUUGACGUAAUGAUUAAUAGGGAUAGUUGGGGGCAUUAGUAUUCAAUUGUCAGAGGUGAAAUUCUUGGAUUUAUUGAAGACUAACUACUGCGAAAGCAUUUGCCAAGGAUGUUUUCAUUAAUCAAGAACGAAAGUUAGGGGAUCGAAGACGAUCAGAUACCGUCGUAGUCUUAACCAUAAACUAUGCCGACUAGGGAUCGGAUGAUGUUAAUUUUUUAAUGACUCA